CGCGUAGGCGGCCUUGCGUGUCUUCCGUGAAAUCCCUCGGCUCAACUGAGGACGUGCGGAAGAAACUGCGAGGCUCGAGUCCGGGAGAGGAGGGUGGAAUUCCCAGUGUAGCGGUGAAAUGCGUAGAUAUUGGGAGGAACACCGGUGGCGAAGGCGGCCCUCUGGACCGGUACUGACGCUGAUGCGCGAAAGCGUGGGGAGCAAACG
Molecule: ribosomal RNA, 207 nt
Filed under: uncultured bacterium
Lineage: Bacteria
Description: partial 16S ribosomal RNA
Rfam family: Bacterial small subunit ribosomal RNA
Source: RNAcentral